Molecule: unclassified non-coding RNA, 394 nt
Filed under: Hevea brasiliensis (rubber tree)
Lineage: Eukaryota; Viridiplantae; Streptophyta; Magnoliopsida; Malpighiales; Euphorbiaceae
Source: RNAcentral
GAUCAUUACAGAUUACUGUAUGCCAGGAAUGACAGGCUAUGAUCUCCUUAGAAAGAUUAAGGAAUCUAAAUCUUUCAAGGACAUCCCAGUUGUGAUUAUGUCUUCAGAGAAUGUUCCAUCAAGAAUUAAUAGAUGCUUGGAAGAAGGAGCUGAAGAAUUCUUUCUGAAGCCAGUUCAAUUAUCAGAUGUGGACAAGCUUAGACCCCAUUUAAUGAAGGGAAAAUGUCAAGAAAAUGAGCCUAAUAACAAGAGGAAAGGAGACAUAGAAGAAUUUCACUCACCAGACAGAACAAGAACAAGAUAUGAUGACUUGGAAGUUGUCUGAUUAAUAAUAUAAUUAUAGAGGAUAGUAUAGGAAAUUCCUAUAAACAUUUUUCCUCUUCUUUUUAAAUUU